RNA transcript from Macaca mulatta (Rhesus monkey), 1671 nucleotides. It is a transcript of the gene named acid phosphatase 1, with no coding region annotated. The record is from RefSeq and is a predicted model, not a curated record. Lineage: Eukaryota; Metazoa; Chordata; Mammalia; Primates; Cercopithecidae.
GUGCGCAUGCGCCGCGUCGGCGUGCGGAACGCCGCGGUCUGUUGGCGCUUUUGCGCGCGGAAAGAUGGCGGAACAGGCUACCAAGUCCGUGCUGUUUGUGUGUCUGGGUAACAUUUGUCGAUCACCCAUUGCAGAAGCAGUUUUCAGGAAACUUGUAACUGAUCAAAACAUCUCAGAGAAUUGGAGGGUAGACAGCGCGGCGACUUCCGGGUAUGAGAUAGGGAACGCCCCUGACUACCGAGGGCAGAACUGCAUGAAGAGGCACGGCAUCCCCAUGAGCCACGUUGCCCGGCAGGUACCGUCCUUGGACUUGAAGAUGUGUGUUUUGUGUUUCAGUGGGUCAUUGACAGCGGUGCUGUUUCUGACUGGAACGUGGGCCGGUCCCCAGACCCAAGAGCUGUGAGCUGCCUAAGAAAUCAUGGCAUUCACACAGCCCAUAAAGCAAGACAGAUUACCAAAGAAGAUUUUGCCACGUUUGAUUAUAUACUAUGUAUGGAUGAAAGCAAUCUGAGAGAUUUGAAUAGAAAAAGUAAUCAAGUUAAAACCUGCAAAGCUAAAAUUGAACUACUUGGGAGCUAUGAUCCACAAAAACAACUUAUUAUUGAAGAUCCCUAUUAUGGGAAUGACUCUGACUUUGAGACGGUGUACCAGCAAUGUGUCAGGUGCUGCAGAGCGUUCUUGGAGAAGGCCGACUGAGGCAGGUUCAUGCCCUGCUGUGGCCAGCCUGACUAGACCCCACCCUGAGGUCCUGCAUUCUCAGUCAGUGUGUAAUCAUGUUCCAGAGCCCAAAGGCCCAGCUCUUUGUUCAGUUGACUUACUGUUUCUUACCUUAAAAAAUAUUGUAGAUGGAAAUCAGUUAUGUUUGGCAGAAGAAUCAAUAAAAUUAUUUGAUUCUGACAGUUUAUGGGGUAUAGUAAGCAUUCUUAGACUAGUUGAACAUCUCACUUUGCCCCAAUUACAAAAAUAGUAGAACAAGCAACAUAAAACAUAAUGAAGGAAAACCUCACUUGAAGGCCCAGGUCAGCAUCUAAGCCCGCUGAGACUUAGUCAAGUCUACCUCUUCAGUAGGUUCGUGUGGAUGGCCUGAUGGGGGGCAGGUGCCCUCUGCUCCCUGUGCUACCUCUCUCUUGCCCAGGGCCUUUUAUGGAUUGACAGUAGCCCUCUCCAUAGGAGCUCACAGUCUAGAUUAGAAGUGUUUUAAUUUAUACACACCCAUAGUGCACACUUGUAUAUUGAAAAGAUAGGGAAGAGAGAAACAUUUAUGGAAACAGUCGUUAGCACCUUCAAUACUUCAUGAUUUUUGUUGAGUUUACUUCAUGAGGAAGUCAGCUCAUUUGCUCCCAUCUGAACCACUUUGCCUCUGAAACUUAAUUAUAUCCAGAAAGAAGGACGCUUGUAUGCUAGUCUAACUAUGGUCAGUUGAGGAAUAUGACACUUUUUAUAUGCACAUGUAACCCAAAUGUCCAAUAUAAAUUGGCUUAUUUUUAAAAAUAAUUUUAAAAGUUGGGAAACGCUUUAUUAUUUGGCAUGCUUAAAUAUUAAGUAUUCUUCAUCAGCAUUUAAUAAAUGUAUAGGCAGAUAUAGGUAAUUUCUGUGUAUUGAGAUAAUGUCGAAAUCAUGAAUAUUUCAAAAUAAACUGGGGAGUUAUAAAAAUACAACUAGAGAUAUAAA